UACGGAGGGUGCAAGCGUUAAUCGGAAUUACUGGGCGUAAAGCGCACGCAGGCGGUUUGUUAAGCUAGAUGUGAAAGCCCCGGGCUCAACCUGGGAUGGUCAUUUAGAACUGGCAGACUAGAGUUUUGGAGAGGGGAGUGGAAUUCCAGGUGUAGCGGUGAAAUGCGUAGAUAUCUGGAGGAACAUCAGUGGCGAAGGCGACUCUCUGGCCAAAGACUGACGCUCAUGUGCGAAAGUGUGGGUAGCGAACAGG
Molecule: ribosomal RNA, 253 nt
Filed under: uncultured bacterium
Lineage: Bacteria
Description: partial 16S ribosomal RNA
Rfam family: Bacterial small subunit ribosomal RNA
Source: RNAcentral